RNAcentral lists this ribosomal RNA (402 nucleotides) under uncultured bacterium. Its description in RNAcentral is "bacterial SSU rRNA". It matches the Rfam family "Bacterial small subunit ribosomal RNA", at positions 355 to 774 of the family's 1533-position model. The record is from RNAcentral.
UGGGGAAUCUUGCACAAUGGGGGCAACCCUGAUGCAGCGACGCCGCGUGAGCGAUGAAGCCCUUCGGGGCGUAAAGCUCUUUCGACCGGAACGAUAAUGACGGUACCGGGGGAAGAAGCUGCGGCUAACUACGUGCCAGCAGCCGCGGCAAUACGUAGGCAGCAAGCGUUGUUCGGAGUUACUGGGCGUAAAGAGUGCGUAGGCGGUUUUCUAAGUUCGGUGUGAAAUCUCCCGGCUUAACUGGGAGGGUGCGCCGAAGACUGGGAAGCUGGAGUGGGGGAAAGGCAGGCGGAAUUCCUGGUGUAGCGGUGAAAUGCGUAGAUAUCAGGAGGAACACCGGCGGUGUAGACGGCUUGCUAGACCAUAACUGACGCUGAGGCACGAAAGCGUGGGUAGCAAACA